This 465-nucleotide ribosomal RNA is filed under the name uncultured bacterium. RNAcentral describes it as "partial 16S ribosomal RNA". It matches the Rfam family "Bacterial small subunit ribosomal RNA", at positions 28 to 507 of the family's 1533-position model. The record is from RNAcentral.
GACGAACGCUGGCGGCGUGCUUAACACAUGCAAGUCGAACGGAAAGGCCCUGCUUGCAGGGUACUCCAGUGGCGAACGGGUGAGUAACACGUGGGUGAUCUGCCCUGCACUUCGGGAUAAGCCUGGGAAACUGGGUCUAAUACCGGAUAGGAGCCAUUUUUAGUGUGAUGGUUGGAAAGUUUUUUCGGUGUAGGAUGAGCUCGCGGCCUAUCAGCUUGUUGGUGGGGUAAUGGCCUACCAAGGCGGCGACGGGUAGCCGGCCUGAGAGGGUGGACGGCCACAUUGGGACUGAGAUACGGCCCAGACUCCUACGGGAGGCAGCAGUGGGGAAUAUUGCACAAUGGGCGCAAGCCUGAUGCAGCGACGCCGCGUGGGGGAUGACGGCCUUCGGGUUGUAAACUCCUUUCGCUAGGGACGAAGCUUUUUGUGACGGUACCUAGAUAAGAAGCACCGGCUAACUACGUG